This 775-nucleotide ribosomal RNA is filed under the name uncultured Neocallimastigales. RNAcentral's name for it is "partial large subunit ribosomal RNA". It matches the Rfam family "Eukaryotic large subunit ribosomal RNA", at positions 22 to 639 of the family's 3401-position model. The record is from RNAcentral. Lineage: Eukaryota; Fungi; Neocallimastigomycota; Neocallimastigomycetes; Neocallimastigales.
GUACACGCUGUGACUAGCAUAUCAAUAAGCGGAGGAAAAGAAACUAACAAGGAUUCCCCUAGUAACGGCGAGUGAAGCGGGAAGAGCUCAAAUUUGAAAUCUUAAAGGGUUUCCCUUUACGAAUUGUAGUUUAAAGAAGUGUUUUCUGUUGAGGUUUUGGUAAAAGUUCUUUGGAAUAGGACAUCAUAGAGGGUGAGAAUCCCGUAUUUGACCUUUACUUUCAACUUUGUGAUACACUCUCAAAGAGUCGGAUUGUUUGGGAAUGCAGUCCAAAAUGGGUGGUAAAUUUCAUCUAAAGCUAAAUAUUGGCGAGAGACCGAUAGCGAACAAGUACCGUGAGGGAAAGAUGAAAAGAACUUUGAAAAGAGAGUUAAACAGUACGUGAAAUUGUCAAAAGGGAAGCGUUUGACACCAGUGUUGUUUUUCUGAAAAUCAAUUAAAGAACUGUUUAUGCUAAGCUGUUUAGGACUUUAUCAGCUAUCUGUUUAGUUUUGAGCUUUUCUUUAAUGCACUUUUCAGUUAACAAGUCAACAUCAAUUUCUUUUGCUGUAAAAAAGCUUGAGGAAGGUGGCUUGAGAUUCGUCUUAAGUGUUUAUAGCCUCUUGCCUAUGCAGUCGGAGAGAUUGAGGUCUGCAGCGUAGAUCCUUCGGGGCUAAAUGCAUUUGUGCUAAGUUAUAGCAUUUUAUAGACAACUUGUUGACUAUGAUUUGUCUUGUAGCUUACUCGCUUAUGUUAUUUUACCUACGCUUAGGAUGUUGAAGAUGUAGCACAUCAU